This is an RNA transcript of Haliotis rubra (blacklip abalone), 3626 nucleotides long. RefSeq lists it as uncharacterized. NCBI's taxonomy places the organism in Eukaryota, Metazoa, Mollusca, Gastropoda, Lepetellida, Haliotidae. The record is from RefSeq and is a predicted model, not a curated record. The transcript is spliced from 4 exons.
ACAUGAAUUUACUUCCCUGUUGAAUCGUUGCCGAAAUAUGUCGUAUAUACUUACAUGACGAUGUAAUUCAGGGAAAGACGGGAUGAGGUAGAGCACGGGAUAUACUAUCGAGUUAAAUAGCAGAGCAGACGACACUUACAGAAUGGCGGGAAUUUACAGGAGUAAACUUUUCAGACUGUUCGCCGUGGCAACGUUGAUGACAGUUUUACAGGGGCCAUCUGCACAAGCACAGGAUUGCGACAGUACCAGAACACAGACAUGUUGUUCAACGUACACUCAAUGUCCAGCCGGGUACUACAAGGUACCACAAUGUGACACAUUCUCAACGUCGGUCCCCAGUACAGAAAUACCCGAUGACGACGACAGCUUUAAUUCCACAGACUCAAGUAAUGACACUUCUACAGAUGCCACAACAGAGAUGACCUUCAACACCAGUGACAGCGAAGGAACGUCAACUUCGUCCACUUCGACCCCAACAGUUUACUGCAGGAGGUGCACAGACAGCUGCUACAACUGCAGUGCCGCUGGAUGUUUUACCUGUAUGAAGUCGUUCUCGCUGAAGAAUGGCCAGUGCGUUUCAUCCAACGCUUCCGAACCAUUCCCUGUGGCGGCCGUGGUGGGCGGCGCUGUUGGCGGCGUGGUGCUGAUUGUGGUCGUUGUUGUUGUCAUCGUUUGUGUGUGUCGAAGAAAACCUGCAGACCCUGUACAGAGCGCGCUGGAAAGGAAUGCCGAUGACAUGUCAAAUACACAAGACUCGUCUUCAGACGCAGAAUCGGGGAUGUCGGAAAGAGAAGACAAGAAUCCUGAUUACGAGAACUUGGGGACAAAAUGAAGGACAUGUCCACCAAGAUCCAGCAAGGACAGGACAAGGUGUUGCGGUAUACCAGAGAUCCAACUAUACAAAAUAAGGUGGCUGUGCCAAUAGAGAUGGAAAGCACAUACUCCAACCUAGCUACAAUCAACCUGAACCGGAUGAACCAGGAGGCCAGAGAGAUCCAACAGCUACCAGCAGCUCCAGCGGUUCCUAAAGGUGCCCAGGCGUCAAACAAGCAGAAGAAGAAGAAGAGUCGGAAAGCAAAAGUCGAAGAAGUCGCACAGGACGAGCCAACACCAGAAGCGGAACCCGAGGACAUCUAUGUCAACACAAAAGCGGUUGUUGGCGGAAGCUGGGAACAAGAAGAUGAACAAGUUUAUGAAAAUGAAGCAUCAUCACCUUAUGUGAACUUAGGCUUCCAGAAUUAGAUGUCAGGAUAGUCCGGUGCGUUUACUAUGACAUUUGGUUUGAUGAACAGACACGUACAAGACAAUAACUACCUAGUGUCAGUACGACAUUGGUAACAAGCGGGAGAUUAAAUGUGAUAUUUGAAGGACCAAGGGUCCAAGAAACCAGGGAGGCAACGUUUUACCACAUAGCCUGACGGUGAAUGUAUUUAUGUAUAUUUGAGUCUGUAAUGAAAAAAGUACUAAUAUAUAACCCAGACGUUGAUGUUCCAGAAAAUUUAUGUGACAUAUUGUAGAAAGGGUUCCAACUUUGGGUGAUCACCGAUGGGUGCAAUGCAUCACAAGAACACAAACAUGAAACAACGAACUUCACUACGGUACUAUAUAUAAAUUAUAUUUGUCGUUGUUUAUUAGUCAACAUAAAUGUUCAGCUAUAGUUUGUACUUCUGUAGCUGAUGUUAAGAAUGUGCCAAAGAGUUAUAUGUUGUAGAUAAACCUAUACCUUUUUAUUUAAACGUGGUCAAUACCACAGUUAGGGUACACAUUUUGUCGUCCAAACAUAUCCUAUGUUGAAUCCGUUUUCUCUCAACUGGUUGUAAUCUAAGUUCAAAUUUAAUUCAUAAAUAUGUUUGUCAAAAUGUAAGGAACAUUUAUAAUUCAUUUGUGAUUUGCAUUCUGACAUUAAAACACUUUUCGUACAUUCCGAUGCUGCGUGCAUGUUAGUGACAGUAAAACAGCGAUGCAAUGAGGACAGUUUGGGGAGUGUAUUAGAAGCAAUAUUUCAUAGAGUGCUAAUUUGGAUAAAGGCAUUUCAGUUUCGAGAACAGACAACAUAAGUUUCUAUUGACGAGGCGAAAAUUCUUUGCUCGGCAUUAUCACUGUGGGCGUACAGUAAGGAAAAUAAAUUUUAACAAAUUGUAAAUAUCCUCAGGGUGUCAUUAAAAUCAGACUAAAUAUUAUUGUAACAUUUGCAAGAAAAUGUGUUCCAGUGUAGAUAUUUAAGCAGCUAUUCAAGUGUAUGGUAGGUUUGUAUUUGAACGAUGCUUUCAUCUGUAAGAAAUGUUUGGGGGUUUCCCGAACCAUGGUGAACAAAUUCAUUUUAAUGUUUUAUGAAUGUAUGCAAAUACGGAGAUGAAAUGAGUGCUUUAAUUUGUAUAGUUCUGAGUUGGCCAGGUGAUAUAGGGCCUUAUAUUUUCCUACUUUAUGUGUUUAUACUUUGCAUACAACUUGUACCAGUGAAUGUGCUCCUGUCGCUGAAAUGUUUGGUGCAACAUUGCAUAUCAAUCAUUUGUUUAGUAUUUAUUCGUGCACAUAUCCCGCCCUUAACACAUAUGGUAAAACACACAGAUGUUUUAACAUAAUUCAACUGCAUUGAUGAUCUACGAUUAUAUCUCAGUUAUUUGAUAAUCAUGUUGAACUCGACGGUCAAAAGAUAUCUACUUAUUAAUAAAUAAUCGGAGAAUAUACGAUGUGCUGUAUAUGUAACUUUCUACAUUUUACUUAAUCAGACGCAUUGUUAUCGGUUUGAAAUACGUCGUUCCCACAAGCAUAGUUUUCUGAUGGCAGCGUUUUAAAAACAUGCAGUUAACAUUAAAACAUAUCUCAACGAAUGUCGCCUCAAAUAAAAAUGUUUUACAGUUGAAAUAUAUUAAACCUGACAUUGAAACGUGGUAAAAACAAACGAGUCCACAAAGACUAAAAACUGAACCAACAAUGUAUGAAAUGCAAUGAAGGCUAGUAUCCUACAGCUUUCAAUGAAUCGGGCUUUAGAAGUUUUGAAGAUUUUCAGUGGUAUUGAAAAACCAAUAACGAUGUAUCGAUGCUGAAUAUAAUUCAAGCUGCAUGAGUCGUUAAAAGGGGGCGGUGGGAUAGUCUAGUGGUUAAAGCGUCCGCUCGUCACGCCGAAGACCCGGGUUCGAUUCCCCACAUGGGUACAAUGUGUGAAACCCAUUUCUGGCGUCCCCCGCCGUGAUAUUGCUGGAAUUUUGCUUAUAGCCACGUAAAACCAUACUCACUCACUCAAGCUGCAUGGUAUUAGUUACGAAGAAUGCAACCCUUGGUGAAAAUUACAGCCAGUUUUGUGUUCAUUGUAGAUAUGUAAAUGAAAUCUGUCUAUCUGUCUGUAUUGUUGGGGCCACGUGUCUCUGUCGUUGUAAUUGUCAUUGAUAAUCGGAAUGUCAACCGAUUGUAGACUGAUCGUUUGAAAUACACAUCAUGUUCAUAUGUACUUAUACUCGCUUUAUCAUCCCCUGGUCAUCAUCAUCAUCAUUGUGAGAUAUUGUCAUUACUUCACAAGUCAUAUCAUUUCAUUGUAAAUUUAUUCAACGCAUUUCAUGUAUGUGAUUCUAUGUAUGUAUAUAUGAGUUGACAAGCUCAAUAAACUCAAAGUCAUGUUAUCAUCCACA